CGCCUGUUUAUCAAAAACAUUUCUUGAUAAGUUUCAAGUAUGCCCUGCUCAAUGAUUUAUUUAAAUAGCCGCAGUAAUUUGACUGUGCUAAGGUAGCGUAAUCAUUAGUCUUUUAAUUAAGGUCUAGAAUGAAGGGGUAUACGAUGGGGUUUGAGUAAUGGAGGUGUGGUUUGAAGUUUUAUUUUAAGUGAAAAUGCUUAAGUUUUAUUAAAGACGGAAAGACCCUAGAAGUUUUAUAAUAUUUAUUUCGUUGGGGUAACGGUUGGAGAACAGGUUUUAAUAUGUUUAGUAAAUUACUCUAGGGGUAACAGGACAAUUUAAAAAGUUAGUUCGUAUAUGUUUUUAAGGUUGUUACCUCGAUGUUGGAUCAUCUCAUCUUAUGCUGUGUAUAGGUUUGGGUCUGUUCGACCUGUGUGAGUUACGUGAUCUGAGUUCAAACCGGAG
Molecule: ribosomal RNA, 444 nt
Filed under: Oncicola sp.
Lineage: Eukaryota; Metazoa; Acanthocephala; Archiacanthocephala; Oligacanthorhynchida; Oligacanthorhynchidae
Description: partial 16S ribosomal RNA
Rfam family: Bacterial large subunit ribosomal RNA
Source: RNAcentral